RNAcentral lists this transfer RNA (53 nucleotides) under Oncicola luehei. RNAcentral's name for it is "tRNA-Asp". Lineage: Eukaryota; Metazoa; Acanthocephala; Archiacanthocephala; Oligacanthorhynchida; Oligacanthorhynchidae. The record is from RNAcentral.
UUUAAGUUAGUUCUAAGAAUGUAAGCUUGUCAGGCUUAAGGGUGAACUUAAAU